CGCGUAGGCGGACUAUUAAGUCAGGGGUGAAAUCCCGGGGCUCAACCCCGGAACUGCCUUUGAUACUGGUAGUCUAGAGUUCGAGAGAGGUGAGUGGAAUUCCGAGUGUAGAGGUGAAAUUCGUAGAUAUUCGGAGGAACACCAGUGGCGAAGGCGGCUCACUGGCUCGAUACUGACGCUGAGGUGCGAAAGCGUGGGGAGCAAACA
RNAcentral lists this ribosomal RNA (207 nucleotides) under uncultured bacterium. Its description in RNAcentral is "partial 16S ribosomal RNA". It matches the Rfam family "Bacterial small subunit ribosomal RNA", at positions 568 to 774 of the family's 1533-position model. The record is from RNAcentral.